CAUUCCAUGCAUGACACUGGGCCAGGCGGGGAGGAGGGACAGAGCCAGAGUUGGUGACUGAAGGGGGGGACCGAAGAAGAAAGGCUGGCCUGCAGCUUGGGGCCGUCUCCGGUCCUGCGCGCCCUGGCCGCCCUGGCGCAGACCCAGGGGCUGAAAUGUCAGGAGCACGUGAGCCGCUUACCGAGCAGCCUGGCCCAGGCGGCCACCAGAGCCCGCCCAGAGGGAGGGUGGCCUGCUGGGGGGGGACUCAGGAGCCCAGAGGAGUCCCGGCUCCCUGCAGGUCUGUGGCUGCGCUGGGCCAGAGGUCCUGGGGCACAGGCCCAGGGGGCCAGGAAGAGGAAGGGGCCAGGUCCCCAGGGCGCAGGAGAGGGGUGAAGUCCUGGGCCCACGGGUCCCCUGCAGUUCAUCACCCCCACUUUACAGAUGGGGCGACUGAGACUCGGGCAGCCAGUGGGGACAAGGUAACGAGUCCUGUCCCCGUUCAUGGGAAUGAAUGGUCUGCUCCACCAAGUCCUCCCGCCCUGCUGGGCUGCCUCACCCAACGCAGCAGGGCCAGCCCAUCAUGGAGACCAAGUGAACCUUUCUUCUCUUUACAAGCUGAUGUUCCUAGCCAUGUGUUACAGCAACGGAAAACCGACGAACAGAGCAGCCCAGCUGGCACGACCCCUGAGCUGGGGUCUUCUGGAAUCUUCAUGGGCACCGAAGUCGGUCCUUCUUCCUGUACACUCCCCUCACCUUUAUGAUUUUUCCGUCACCCCGGGCUACUUCCUUUCGUUUGUACCCAUUGUGCAAUUAAAUCAUAAACCAUCACAAAUAAGUAAUAAUAAUAAUAAAGGCCAAAUCAUAAAUUACCACACAUAAA
This is a long non-coding RNA of Marmota monax (woodchuck), 862 nucleotides long. RefSeq lists it as uncharacterized. Lineage: Eukaryota; Metazoa; Chordata; Mammalia; Rodentia; Sciuridae. The transcript is spliced from 2 exons. The record is from RefSeq and is a predicted model, not a curated record.